This 879-nucleotide ribosomal RNA is filed under the name uncultured euryarchaeote. RNAcentral describes it as "bacterial SSU rRNA". It matches the Rfam family "Archaeal small subunit ribosomal RNA", at positions 5 to 879 of the family's 1478-position model. Lineage: Archaea; Methanobacteriati; Methanobacteriota. The record is from RNAcentral.
CGGUUGAUCCUGCCGGAGGCCACUGCUAUGGGGGUCCGACUAAGCCAUGCGAGUCAUGGGGCGCGCUCUGCGCGCACCGGCGGACGGCUCAGUAACACGUCGGUAACCUACCCUCGGGAGGGGGAUAACCCCGGGAAACUGGGGCUAAUCCCCCAUAGGCCUGAGGUACUGGAAGGUCCUCAGGCCGAAAGGGUCUUUGACCGCCCGAGGAUGGGCCGGCGGCCGAUUAGGUAGUUGGUGGGGUAACGGCCCACCAAGCCGAAGAUCGGUACGGGCCAUGAGAGUGGGAGCCCGGAGAUGGACACUGAGACACGGGUCCAGGCCCUACGGGGCGCAGCAGGCGCGAAACCUCCGCAAUGCGGGCAACCGCGACGGGGGGACCCCCAGUGCCGUGGCAUCGCCACGGCUUUUCCGGAGUGUAAAAAGCUCCGGGAAUAAGGGCUGGGCAAGGCCGGUGGCAGCCGCCGCGGUAAUACCGGCGGCCCGAGUGGUGGCCGCUAUUAUUGGGCCUAAAGCGUCCGUAGCCGGGCCCGUAAGUCCCUGGCGAAACCCCACGGCUCAACCGUGGGGCUUGCUGGGGAUACUGCGGGCCUUGGGACCGGGAGAGGCCGGGGGUACCCCUGGGGUAGGGGUGAAAUCCUAUAAUCCCAGGGGGACCGCCAGUGGCGAAGGCGCCCGGCUGGAACGGGUCCGACGGUGAGGGACGAAGGCCAGGGGAGCGAACCGGAUUAGAUACCCGGGUAGUCCUGGCUGUAAAGGAUGCGGGCUAGGUGUCGGGCGAGCUUCGAGCUCGCCCGGUGCCGAAGGGAAGCCGUUAAGCCCGCCGCCUGGGGAGUACGGCCGCAAGGCUGAAACUUAAAGGAAUUGGCGGGGGAGCAC